Molecule: transfer RNA, 110 nt
Filed under: Micromonas pusilla virus 12T
Lineage: Varidnaviria; Bamfordvirae; Nucleocytoviricota; Megaviricetes; Algavirales; Phycodnaviridae
Rfam family: tRNA
About the family: Transfer RNA (tRNA) molecules are approximately 80 nucleotides in length. Their secondary structure includes four short double-helical elements and three loops (D, anti-codon, and T loops).
Source: Rfam by way of RNAcentral
AUCCAAUUAGCUCAAUCGGUUAGAGCGUCGUGCUUAUACAUCGUAUAUUCAUAUAGAGUUACAUCUAUUAAGGCACGCGAAGGUUGCGGGUUCAAGCCCCGUAUUGGAUA